Molecule: ribosomal RNA, 431 nt
Filed under: uncultured bacterium
Lineage: Bacteria
Description: partial 16S ribosomal RNA
Rfam family: Bacterial small subunit ribosomal RNA
Source: RNAcentral
CCUACGGGUGGCAGCAGUGGGGAAUAUUGGACAAUGGGGGGAACCCUGAUCCAGCCAUGCCGCGUGUGUGAAGAAGGCCUUAUGGUUGUAAAGCACUUUAAGCGAGGAGGCGUUACUCGCAGAAUAAGCACCGGCUAACUCUGUGCCAGCAGCCGCGGUAAUACAGAGGGUGCGAGCGUUAAUCGGAUUUACUGGGCGUAAAGCGUGCGUAGGCGGCUUUUUAAGUCGGAUGUGAAAUCCCCGAGCUUAACUUGGGAAUUGCAUUCGAUACUGGGAAGCUAGAGUAUGGGAGAGGAUGGUAGAAUUCCAGGUGUAGCGGUGAAAUGCGUAGAGAUCUGGAGGAAUACCGAUGGCGAAGGCAGCCAUCUGGCCUAUCUGACGCUGAGGUACGAAAGCAUGGGGAGCAAACAGGAUUAGAUACCCUUGUAGUC